CCAAGCCUUGGAGCACUUAAGUCCCAGCAUGACUAGCAAACUUGAGACUCCUUUUGUUCUGGAUGACACCAUUGGAUUAGAAAACUUUCAACAUGUUGGGCCACAGAAAGAGAACCAACAGUUUAUCAAGGAAGUGGACUCGAGAACGACCAAUAGAAUUCUCCAGAAACAAAUGGCGACUGGUGCUGACACUCAUCCAGGGAAUGCAGACCCAGCGUUUGAAGGUGGCACCUCCUCGGAGCCUGGCUCAGCCCCCCUGGCCGACCCAGGUGCCUCCAGCUCUGCCCAGGGCCCAGGAAGUCCUGAAAGCCAAAUGGCUUCUCCAAGAAAAGUGUCUAGCAUCCCUGAGAGAGCUUUGGAGGAAAACAUUAGUUCUCGUCCCUCAGACAGAAGCAUGACAUCCACCUCCGAGGCCCUGGAAGACCCUCCCAGAAUAGCGUCCCCCCACAAUGCAGAGACUCCUCUCAGAGCCGAGGGAGAAACUGCACAUGGCGGGGCCUCUGCCUCCUUGGCCGAGGCUGCCGAGCCUCCUGGUACAAGCCCUGAAACAGCAUGUGGAGUGCCCCUGGCAGACCUUCCUGUCGAGGCCCUGGCCCCCCCUGAGAGUGUGGACACCCCCGGGCCCCUGCCGGCUGGCAGGGCCACAAGCCCAACCUCCGGUCCUGGGGCUGUUGAGAACUCAAGUCUGAGCCAGCAGCUGCGUCCAGCCUCAGUGGAGGACACACCUGUGGCGCAGAUGGCAGCUGAGACUCCAAGCACAGAGGGCAAGGUACGGGGUGUACGUGUGAGGGCUUAUGAUCCUGUACUGUCCAUGUGAAAAGUCUCGGGGUAUGGGAGGCACAGGUGACCUUGCGGUGACAGGAUGGGAUACCCUGCUGCCCUCGCCCCUGGGGUUCCUUUUGCUGAGAAUGGGUGAGGCAAAAUCCCACCCAGAGGGUCCUCAACUGCAAAGGGUGACCCUGACCUUCCCUCCAGGAGGGAAACUGGAAUUCUUCGGGCACAUCGGUUCCCACGAGCUGUCCAGGCAGUGAGGCAGUGCCCCCAACUCAGCAGGGGCCAGAGCCUGCCUUGGAGCCGAAGGAGGAGAGCUUCAGAGACCCUGCAGAGGGUAAGUUGCCUCAGGGCAGACGUCCUCUGGUUUGCUUUAAAUGUAUCCCCUGAGCAUUUGUGUUUGGUGGCUUGACUCCCCUGCAUCAUUGGCCAGUGGUCAUUCUAUAGGCUGGUCUGUCACCUAACAUUAAGUAAUUCAUACACAAACUUCUAGUUUAUCAAAAGAUAGGCAUUUUCAGUAGGAUAGGUCUCAUACAUUUCACUUAAAGGACUUCUAGAAAUAGAAUUUGUAUACUCAGAGAAAUCAGCCAAAGGCAAAAACAAGAUGACACACGGACAUGCAAACUUGUAAUUGCCAACUGGGCAUUCGUUGGUAAUCAGGGAAUCAAUGAAAUGAGAAGCUUAGUCCUUCAACACCAGGCUGUGGUGAAAUGUGGAUGGUAGAAUGGUCAUUAAAGUGCAUCGGAAGAGAAAAGUAUAAAUGAAGUGUGUUCAGUGAGUUAUAAUUGGAUUGGUUUAAAGGCUAUAAAGCAACUUUGUAAAAUCUCUGUUUGGAUUACUUAAAACCUCAGUCAUUGAGAAGACUGGAAGGUGAAUGUAGGUAGGGUUUAUCUCUGGCAGGAUAGUCAUGGGUUCUGGCCACAUGGGGAUAAGCUUAGCUGGGGUGGACCUGUCACCCCCAUGUGGGACCUCUGGAAUCACACACAACAUGAGCGUUUGGGUCUGGCCUCUGCCACGGAGCAUGGUGUUUCCAAGGCUCGUCCAUCUGCAGCAGGUGUCAGUGCCUUGUCCCCGAGGUGGCUGAAUAACAUUCAUAUUUUGUUAACUCAUCGGUGGACGUUUGGGGUGGUUCCACUUUUUAGCUGUUGUAAAUAAUGUCAUGAACAUUCAUGUCUUUAGCUUUUUGAUCUAUUUGGAGUUAAUUACUAUAUAUGGUUUGAGGCAAUCUUAAAAUUUUGUGUAGAAAUAUGUUUUCAUUCUUGGUUUUAUUUGAUACAAAGUCUACCUCUGUUACUCUGGCUAGAGUGCUGUGGUGUCAGCCUAGCUCACUGCAACCUCAAACUCUUAGGUUGAAGCGAUCCUCCUGUCUCAGCCUCCCGAGUAGCUGGGUCUACAGGCAUGCGCCACCAUACAGAGCUAAUUUUUUUCUAUAUAUUUUCUUUCUUUUUUUAUUCUUUUAGUGUAUUAUGGGGGUACAAGUGUUAAAGUAACUUUUAUUGCCCAUGCCCCCCUGCCCCCUUCUAUAUAUUUUUAUUUGGCCAAUUAAUUUCUAUUUUUAGUAGAGAUGGGGUCUCGCUCUUGCUCAGGCUGGUGUUGAACUCCUGACCUUGAGCAAAUCUCCUACCUCGGCCUCCCAGAGUGGUAAGAUUACAGGCGUGAGCCACCACACCCUGCCACGAUUUUAUUCUUUUGUAUGUAUACCUGGCAUUAGAAUUUCUAGAUCAUGGUGACUCUAUGCUCAACUUUUUGAGGAACUGCCGGACUGCUUUCCCGAGGGGCUGUACCCUUUUACAAUCCUACCAGCAGUGUGUAGGAGGUUUCCUCACCAACACUUGUUAUGUCUCACUGAUCCUGGCCGUCUGAUGGCUGCAAAGUGGUAUCUGGUUGUGGUUUUCAUUUGCAUUGCCCUGAUGGCUAAUGAACAUCUUUUGGGCAUCUAGUUUUAUAGCUUUAGCUCUUACAUUUUCUCUACGACGGCUGC
Long non-coding RNA from Microcebus murinus (gray mouse lemur), 2752 nucleotides. The record is from Ensembl. NCBI's taxonomy places the organism in Eukaryota, Metazoa, Chordata, Mammalia, Primates, Cheirogaleidae.